GAUGAACGCUGGCGGCGUGCCUAAUACAUGCAAGUCGAGCGAACGGACGAGAAGCUUGCUUCUCUGAUGUUAGCGGCGGACGGGUGAGUAACACGUGGAUAACCUACCUAUAAGACUGGGAUAACUUCGGGAAACCGGAGCUAAUACCGGAUAAUAUUUUGAACCGCAUGGUUCAAAAGUAAAAGACGGUCUUGCUGUCACUUAUAGAUGGAUCCGCGCUGCAUUAGCUAGUUGGUAAGGUAACGGCUUACCAAGGCAACGAUGCAUAGCCGACCUGAGAGGGUGAUCGGCCACACGGGAACUGAGACACGGUCCAGACACCUACGGGAGGCAGCAGUAGGGAAUCUUACGCAAUGGGCGAAAGCCUGACGGAGCAACGCCGCGUGAGUGAUGAAGGUCUUCGGAUGGGAAAACUCUGUUAGUAGGGAAGAACAUAUGUGUAAGUAACUGGGCACAUCUUGACGGUACCGAAUCAGAAAGCCACGGCUAACUACGUG
RNAcentral lists this ribosomal RNA (497 nucleotides) under uncultured bacterium. RNAcentral describes it as "partial 16S ribosomal RNA". It matches the Rfam family "Bacterial small subunit ribosomal RNA", at positions 28 to 507 of the family's 1533-position model. The record is from RNAcentral.